CCUACGGGGGGCAGCAGUGAGGAAUAUUGGUCAAUGGCCGGAAGGCUGAACCAGCCAAGCCGCGUGAAGGACGAAGGUGCCAAGCAUUGUAAACUUCUUUUGUCAAGGGACAAAAUCAGGCUCGAGAGCCUGACCGAGGGUACUUGAAGAAAAAGCAUCGGCUAACUCCGUGCCAGCAGCCGCGGUAAUACGGGGGAUGCGAGCGUUAUCCGGCUUUAUUGGGUUUAAAGGGUGCGUAGGCGGGCUGUUAAGUCAGCGGUAAAAGCCCGGGGCUCAACCCCGGCGAGCCGUUGAAACUGGCGGUCUUGAGAUGUCGAGAGGUAUGCGGAAUGCGCAGUGUAGCGGUGAAAUGCUUAGAUAUUGCGCAGAACUCCGAUUGCGAAGGCAGCAUACCGGCGGCGAUCUGACGCUGAGGCACGAAAGCGUGGGUAUCGAACAGGAUUAGAUACCCGGGUAGUC
This 459-nucleotide ribosomal RNA is filed under the name uncultured bacterium. Its description in RNAcentral is "partial 16S ribosomal RNA". It matches the Rfam family "Bacterial small subunit ribosomal RNA", at positions 338 to 795 of the family's 1533-position model. The record is from RNAcentral.